UUGCCUAAGCUAAUCUAUUGAGAUCAAUUGACCAAUUGAUGUUUAAGACAAGUAAUUGAGAGGUGGUUACUUAAUUAGGAGGUUACAGUGGUUCAGUUACACCGAGAACAUGCAACCACUCUAUUAGUAAAGAGUUGCUCCAGGACAAAGAUGGGAUUGGGCUCAAUAUCUGUCAGGUGAGGGACCCAAUGAUAGCUUUACACCUACUCGUGAAUGGUGGGUCGGAUUUAACUAAAGAGUGUAGUCAAUAUCUGUUAGGUAAGCCCACAUAACUUAAAGACCAAGUCACUGCAACAUGCUUAGAGAAACAUCUGGACAAAGAGUUGUCUAUGAAUCGGUGUGUGUU
RNAcentral lists this long non-coding RNA (346 nucleotides) under Elaeis guineensis (African oil palm). RNAcentral describes it as "long non-coding RNA (EGUI_LNC006198)". The record is from RNAcentral. Lineage: Eukaryota; Viridiplantae; Streptophyta; Magnoliopsida; Arecales; Arecaceae.